RNAcentral lists this unclassified non-coding RNA (243 nucleotides) under Basidiomycota sp. RNAcentral's name for it is "partial contains small subunit ribosomal RNA, internal transcribed spacer 1, and 5.8S ribosomal RNA". The stretch from base 1 to 47 matches the Rfam family "Eukaryotic small subunit ribosomal RNA", at positions 1785 to 1831 of the family's 1831-position model. The record is from RNAcentral. Lineage: Eukaryota; Fungi; Basidiomycota.
AAAGUCGUAACAAGGUUUCCGUAGGUGAACCUGCGGAAGGAUCAUUACAAAGCUAGCAAGAUAGAUUUAGACCCGUCUUUACUGACAGUCUUCUUCUUCUUCUAUCAUCUCUUGUGCACCGUAUACAAACUAUUUGCGUCUAAAUUUCUAAAGCCUUAUGCAACACAUUCUAGUCGACGAUCGAAAGAUUGUGCGACGAAACGAAUACAAAAACAACUUUUAACAAUGGAUCUCUUGGCUCUC